This 425-nucleotide ribosomal RNA is filed under the name uncultured bacterium. Its description in RNAcentral is "bacterial SSU rRNA". It matches the Rfam family "Bacterial small subunit ribosomal RNA", at positions 104 to 518 of the family's 1533-position model. The record is from RNAcentral.
UGGUGAGUAACGACGUGGGUGACACACCUCAGAUGGGGAUAGCUAUUAGAAAUAGUAGAUAAUACCGAAUACGAGCACAGGGGUUAGAGAUCUGUGAGGAAAGGAGCUAAGGCUCCGCUGAAGGAAUGGCCUGCGGCCCAUUAGCUAGUUGGUGAGGUAAGAGCCCACCAAGGCGAUGAUGGGUAUCCGGCCUUAGAGGGUGAACGGACACAUUGGGACUGAGAUACGGCCCAGACUCCUACGGGAGGCAGCAGCUAAGAAUCUUCCGCAAUGGGCGAAAGCCUGACGGAGCGACGCCGCGUGAACGAAGAAGGCCGUGAGGUUGUAAAGUUCUUUUCGGGAGGGGGAACAACCGUGGCAGGGAAUGGCCGCGGGAUGACGUGAAUCCCGGAAUAAGCCCCGGCUAACUACGUGCCAGCAGCAGC